AAAACUUUCAACAACGGAUCUCUUGGUUCUGGCAUCGAUGAAGAACGCAGCGAAAUGCGAUAAGUAAUGUGAAUUGCAGAAUUCAGUGAAUCAUCGAAUCUUUGAACGCACAUUGCGCCCUGUGGUAUUCCGCGGGGCAUGCCUGUUCGAGCGUC
RNAcentral lists this ribosomal RNA (155 nucleotides) under Strossmayeria sp. RNAcentral's name for it is "5.8S ribosomal RNA". It matches the Rfam family "5.8S ribosomal RNA". From Rfam's summary of the family: 5.8S ribosomal RNA (5.8S rRNA) is a component of the large subunit of the eukaryotic ribosome. Lineage: Eukaryota; Fungi; Ascomycota; Leotiomycetes; Helotiales. The record is from RNAcentral.